RNAcentral lists this long non-coding RNA (869 nucleotides) under Macaca fascicularis (crab-eating macaque). RNAcentral describes it as "lncRNA (ENSMFAG00000061197.1)". Lineage: Eukaryota; Metazoa; Chordata; Mammalia; Primates; Cercopithecidae. The record is from RNAcentral.
ACUGAUAUUUAUUAUUUUGUAUUUUAUAUCGCGUGUGCAUGGGUGGGUGUCCAUUAUUUCAGGAGAGAGAAGUGAAGAAUGAGUGGAAUCUUGCACUCUGCCUCCAAAUGAUCACCCAUCAGUACAUUCAGAUUCAAAUACGAAGUGGAAAAGAUAAAAUCCAUGGAGAAGCUGCGUUCCUGGAGGCUCACCGUUCAUGUAGACCUACUCAUUCCCCCGAGCACGCUGAGUCCAGCCUUGCAGAUAAAGAAUUUCAUCCAGAAAGAAAAGGUUUCCUCAUUCAAAAGUGUGCUGAAAAUACUGUGCAUGUGUGAAUUCAAGAAUAACCAGGGAGUGGGCGAGGUCGAGGUUUGAAUUAUCCUGUCACAUGCCCUCCCCGUAACACCUGUUUGGCGGUCUCUGUGAUGCAGUGAGACACACCCGGAAACAGCCUCGCGGAGUGCUCAUCCUUCUGUGAUGCGGUGAAACACACCCGGAAACAGCCUCGCUGAGUGCUCAUCCUUCUGUGAUGCAGUGAGACACACCCGGAAACAGCCUCGCUGAGUGCUCAUCCUUCUGUGAUGCGGUGAGACAUACCCGGAAACAGCCUCGCUGAGUGCUCAUCCUUCUGUGAUGCGGUGAGACACGCAGGAGAAGCGGUGAGCUGAGUGCUCAUCCUUCUGUGAUGCGGUGAGACGCACCCGGAAACAGCCUCACUGAGUGCUCAUCCUUCUGUGAUGCGGUGAUACACACACGGAAACAGCCUCACGCGGUGAGACGCACCCGGAAACAGCCUUGCAGAGUGCUCAUCCCGCGCUGGGUCUUCUUGAUCUAGUUUUGGAAAAACAUCGUACCGGAGGAGGCAGGGGCCCCUAAACCAGUGAGAGACA